This 1584-nucleotide ribosomal RNA is filed under the name Escherichia coli. Its description in RNAcentral is "bacterial LSU rRNA". It matches the Rfam family "Bacterial large subunit ribosomal RNA", at positions 1252 to 2819 of the family's 2925-position model. Lineage: Bacteria; Pseudomonadati; Pseudomonadota; Gammaproteobacteria; Enterobacterales; Enterobacteriaceae. The record is from RNAcentral.
GAAGGUGUGCUGUGAGGCAUGCUGGAGGUAUCAGAAGUGCGAAUGCUGACAUAAGUAACGAUAAAGCGGGUGAAAAGCCCGCUCGCCGGAAGACCAAGGGUUCCUGUCCAACGUUAAUCGGGGCAGGGUGAGUCGACCCCUAAGGCGAGGCCGAAAGGCGUAGUCGAUGGGAAACAGGUUAAUAUUCCUGUACUUGGUGUUACUGCGAAGGGGGGACGGAGAAGGCUAUGUUGGCCGGGCGACGGUUGUCCCGGUUUAAGCGUGUAGGCUGGUUUUCCAGGCAAAUCCGGAAAAUCAAGGCUGAGGCGUGAUGACGAGGCACUACGGUGCUGAAGCAACAAAUGCCCUGCUUCCAGGAAAAGCCUCUAAGCAUCAGGUAACAUCAAAUCGUACCCCAAACCGACACAGGUGGUCAGGUAGAGAAUACCAAGGCGCUUGAGAGAACUCGGGUGAAGGAACUAGGCAAAAUGGUGCCGUAACUUCGGGAGAAGGCACGCUGAUAUGUAGGUGAAGUCCCUCGCGGAUGGAGCUGAAAUCAGUCGAAGAUACCAGCUGGCUGCAACUGUUUAUUAAAAACACAGCACUGUGCAAACACGAAAGUGGACGUAUACGGUGUGACGCCUGCCCGGUGCCGGAAGGUUAAUUGAUGGGGUUAGCCGCAAGGCGAAGCUCUUGAUCGAAGCCCCGGUAAACGGCGGCCGUAACUAUAACGGUCCUAAGGUAGCGAAAUUCCUUGUCGGGUAAGUUCCGACCUGCACGAAUGGCGUAAUGAUGGCCAGGCUGUCUCCACCCGAGACUCAGUGAAAUUGAACUCGCUGUGAAGAUGCAGUGUACCCGCGGCAAGACGGAAAGACCCCGUGAACCUUUACUAUAGCUUGACACUGAACAUUGAGCCUUGAUGUGUAGGAUAGGUGGGAGGCUUUGAAGUGUGGACGCCAGUCUGCAUGGAGCCGACCUUGAAAUACCACCCUUUAAUGUUUGAUGUUCUAACGUUGACCCGUAAUCCGGGUUGCGGACAGUGUCUGGUGGGUAGUUUGACUGGGGCGGUCUCCUCCUAAAGAGUAACGGAGGAGCACGAAGGUUGGCUAAUCCUGGUCGGACAUCAGGAGGUUAGUGCAAUGGCAUAAGCCAGCUUGACUGCGAGCGUGACGGCGCGAGCAGGUGCGAAAGCAGGUCAUAGUGAUCCGGUGGUUCUGAAUGGAAGGGCCAUCGCUCAACGGAUAAAAGGUACUCCGGGGAUAACAGGCUGAUACCGCCCAAGAGUUCAUAUCGACGGCGGUGUUUGGCACCUCGAUGUCGGCUCAUCACAUCCUGGGGCUGAAGUAGGUCCCAAGGGUAUGGCUGUUCGCCAUUUAAAGUGGUACGCGAGCUGGGUUUAGAACGUCGUGAGACAGUUCGGUCCCUAUCUGCCGUGGGCGCUGGAGAACUGAGGGGGGCUGCUCCUAGUACGAGAGGACCGGAGUGGACGCAUCACUGGUGUUCGGGUUGUCAUGCCAAUGGCACUGCCCGGUAGCUAAAUGCGGAAGAGAUAAGUGCUGAAAGCAUCUAAGCACGAAACUUGCCCCGAGAUGAGUUCUCCCUGAC